RNAcentral lists this ribosomal RNA (126 nucleotides) under Callionymus lyra (dragonet). RNAcentral describes it as "partial 28S ribosomal RNA". The record is from RNAcentral. Lineage: Eukaryota; Metazoa; Chordata; Actinopteri; Syngnathiformes; Callionymidae.
AGCGUCGGGCCCAUACCCGGCCGUCGCCGGCAACGCGAGCCCGCGGGGGCUACGCGGCGACGAGUAGGAGGGCCGCCGCGGUGGGCAUUGAAGCCUAGGGCGCGGGCCCGGGUGGAGNCCGCCGCG